ACCGUACUCCUACGGGAGGCAGCAGUGGGGAAUUUUGGACAAUGGGGGCAACCCUGAUCCAGCAAUGCCGCGUGAGUGAAGAAGGCCUUCGGGUUGUAAAGCUCUUUUGUCAGGGAAGAAACGGUAGUAGCUAAUAUCUAUUACUAAUGACGGUACCUGAAGAAUAAGCACCGGCUAACUACGUGCCAACAGCCGCGGUAAUACGUAGGGUGCAAGCGUUAAUCGGAAUUACUGGGCGUAAAGCGUGCGCAGGCGGUUGUGUAAGUCAGAUGUGAAAUCCCCGGGCUCAACCUGGGAAUUGCAUUAGAGACUGCACGGCUAGAGUGUGUCAGAGGGGGGUAGAAUUCCACAUGAAGCAGUGAAAUGCGUAGAUAUAUGGAGGAAUACCGAUGGCGAAGGCAGCCCCCUGGGAUAACACGGACGCUCAUGCACGAAAGCGUGGGGAGCAAACAGGAUUAGAUACCCUAGUAGCCCUUGAC
RNAcentral lists this ribosomal RNA (479 nucleotides) under uncultured bacterium. RNAcentral's name for it is "bacterial SSU rRNA". It matches the Rfam family "Bacterial small subunit ribosomal RNA", at positions 330 to 801 of the family's 1533-position model. The record is from RNAcentral.